Limulus polyphemus (Atlantic horseshoe crab) is the source of this 578-nucleotide long non-coding RNA. RefSeq lists it as uncharacterized. The record is from RefSeq and is a predicted model, not a curated record. The transcript has 3 exons. Lineage: Eukaryota; Metazoa; Arthropoda; Merostomata; Xiphosura; Limulidae.
AAAGUACACCAAUUCUUUUAGAUCACUAAUAAAGUAACCAAGCUGUGCUGAUGAGCCUUGAAUAGGCGAAACUGCAGUCUACGGCACAGGAUACGGCCAAUCAAGGAAAGCAUUAGGGCUCUGUGUCAAUUUAACCUUUGGUUCGUAUAUCGAAGACAAAUUUUGAAAAGGUGUUACAGCUGGAAACGUUAGACCAAGGAAACACAACAAAAGCUUUAUUUUGGUGUAUACUCGUUUUAAAUAUCCUACCAUUGUUCUUUACAUAUUUCUAGAAUAACUUCAAGUAACAAGAAUGUCAUUUGUUUCUUCCAGAAAAGGUAAAAAGAGUUUAGUCUUAGUUUUCAUAUAAUUUAAUUUAUAUGAUGUUUUUAUAAUGAUUUUAAAAGCUUUGCAAUUCAUCAGAUUUCUGUUGAAAAAUUGGGCUUGGAAAGCAAGGAAAAAUGAUAUCGUCAUUUUGUCAAGUUAUAUAUCAUGCAUACCUGUAACCUUAUAUCCUUCUGUGAUUUAUUAAUUUCAAAGCUGAAGAAGAUUUUCCAACGUAAUUGUAUCGUAUUUUGCGUUCUGUAAUAAGAUGAAUG